This 1124-nucleotide ribosomal RNA is filed under the name Fragilariopsis kerguelensis. Its description in RNAcentral is "partial Bacterial large subunit ribosomal RNA". It matches the Rfam family "Bacterial large subunit ribosomal RNA", at positions 23 to 1202 of the family's 2925-position model. The record is from RNAcentral. Lineage: Eukaryota; Bacillariophyta; Bacillariophyceae; Bacillariales; Bacillariaceae.
GGUGGAUGCCUUGGCAACUAGAGGCGAUGAAAGACGUUGUAGCCUGCGAUAAGCUACGGUGAGGUGGCAAACAACCUUUGACCCGUAGAUUUCUGAAUGGGGAAACCCACUUCUUCGGAAGUAUCUUGCACUGAAUACAUAGGUGACAAGAGGCAAACCUAGGGAACUGAAACAUCUAAGUACCUAGAGGAAAAGAAAUCAAAUGAGAUUCCCUUAGUAGCGGCGAGCGAAAGGGGAGCAGCCCUUAAGCUGUUUUGUAAGUAGGAGAAGGCUCUGGAAAGUGCCGCCAUAGUGGGUGAUAGCCCCGUAUCUAAAACUUUAUAAACAGUGAAAUCGAGUAGGUCGGGACACGUGAUAUCUUGACUGAAUAUGGGGGGACCAUCCUCCAAGGCUAAAUACUCCUAGUUGACCGAUAGUGAACCAGUACCGUGAGGGAAAGGCGAAAAGAACCCCUGUGAGGGGAGUGAAAUAGAACCUGAAACCGUGUACGUACAAGCAGUAGGAGCAGACUUGUUCUGUGACUGCGUACCUUUUGUAUAAUGGGUCAGCGACUUAUAUUCAGUAGCAAGGUUAACCGUUUAGGGGAGCCGUAGGGAAACCGAGUCUUAAUAGGGCGUUCAGUUGCUGGGUAUAGACCCGAAACCCGGCGAUCUAUCCAUGAGCAGGUUGAAGAUUGAGUAACAUCAAUUGGAGGACCGAACCCACUGUCUUUGAAAAGCCAGGGGAUGACUUGUGGAUCGGAGUGAAAGGCUAAUCAAGCCGGGAGAUAGCUGGUUCUCCUCGAAAUCUAUUUAGGUAGAGCGUCACGUAUUACCCACGGGGGUAGAGCACUGUUAAGGCUAGGGGGUCAUCCCGACUUACCAACCCUUUGCAAACUCCGAAUACCGUGGAGUACAGCGUGGCAGACACACUGCGGGUGCUAACGUCCGUAGUGAAAAGGGAAACAACCCAGACCGUCAGCUAAGGUCCCAAAGUUACAGUUAAGUGGGAAACGAUGUGGGAAGGCCCAGACAGCUAGGAGGUUGGCUUAGAAGCAGCCACCCUUUAAAGAAAGCGUAAUAGCUCACUAGUCGAGUCGGCCUGCGCGGAAGAUGUAACGGGGCUCAAACUGGUCACCGAAGCUG